UUGUAUGAAACUGACACAAUAUUAUCAUUGAUUGAACAUUCUUGAACCUGAACUGCGCUACAUGAGCUCAUAUAUGACUAAUUGAUCACACAAUAUGAGCAAGUCCCAAAAUUUAACAAUUAACGGAGUGUCAUUAUCCAGGAAAUGUCUUUUUAAAUUAAGCUCUCUUGGUGGCCAUUAUGAAGACAUAUCAAGUGAAAACGGACAGUUUGAUUAUGGUAGGUUAUAGCUCUCUUUGGAUAUGGUGAGAUCACAAAAUCUGUUGGUGAAAAUGAGUAAUAUAUGUGCUCCAGAGGGAAGGAUGAAUUGAGCAAUUCAAAACUUAUAAAAUAUUUUUGAAAAACUUCCAAAGUGUUUGUCACUCCCUUAUAAUGUUAGAUCACUCGAUCAAUUUCCUUUUGGGUUAAAUUAUGAGAUAUCGUCAAAUGCAAUAAACAACCUAUGAUUCUGGUGCAAAUUUCUAAUGUAUAUUCAACUCUAUAGUCUAUACAAAUACAAUGACCUCUACUUUGAUGGAGUGCAAUGAAUGGAAUGAAUCAAUGAAUGGAAUGAAUCAAUGAAUGGAAUGAAUCAAUGAAUGUAAUGAGACAAUUUGUAUGUUCACAAUACAACCUGUACUUACCUAGAGAUGAAGUACUUGUAUCCUCCCAUCUCCUUCCUCAUCACCUCAGCUCCUCCAAUGCUUCUUUUCCUUUUGCCAAGAUUGCUCCAAUGUGGGUAAGGUACCUACAAUUUCAUUAGAUGCUCAAGUUAGCUGUGAGUGAUAUUGAGGUGUUUAAGUGUUAGCUUGCUCACCUGUGUGAACUUACCACCCCUUUUUAUAAGGGUAUUGUUGAUAAGAUAAGAGUCUUAUUGAUAAGUUAUCUUUAAGAGGUGAUAGUUUGUCUUUUAUCUCGUGUUGAUGAUAAUUUGUUUACUGUUUCCAUUAUCCUGUAGCCGAAAACCCUCCUUAUCCAAGUUACAAGUUGAUCAAGGAUAUCCUAAUCCAUCCACCUUGAGCCUUGAGGGAGACUGAAUUAGCUGAGUUCCUCCAUAUUCCGCUAGUACACAACCAAUAUCCCAACAAUGAUGUCAGUGUAUCAAUGUUAUUCAAUCAAUAUCAAGAUUCAAUGCCAAUCUCCAAUGCAAAAGAUGGGAUUUUCCAUUACAAGUAACCUUUGUAGAAUCACGUGCCUCACUUAAAUGAGACAUAAUUUGCAAGCAGAACUUAAACUGCCAGAGUUGCAAAGCCAAUGGGGACAUGAUUUCCGGCCUGAUUAUCGGGGAUUGGGAUCUCUUAAGCAA
Non-coding RNA from Cajanus cajan (pigeon pea), 1284 nucleotides. The record is from RefSeq and is a predicted model, not a curated record. NCBI's taxonomy places the organism in Eukaryota, Viridiplantae, Streptophyta, Magnoliopsida, Fabales, Fabaceae.